RNAcentral lists this ribosomal RNA (268 nucleotides) under uncultured bacterium. RNAcentral describes it as "partial 16S ribosomal RNA". It matches the Rfam family "Bacterial small subunit ribosomal RNA", at positions 524 to 787 of the family's 1533-position model. The record is from RNAcentral.
UACGUAGGGUGCAAGCGUUAAUCGGAAUUACUGGGCGUAAAGCGUGCGCAGGCGGCGCGUUAAGACAGGUGUGAAAGCCCCCGAGCUUAACUUGGGAAUUGCGCUUGUGACUGGCGUGCUGGAGUGUGGCAGAGGGAGGUGGAAUUCCACGUGUAGCAGUGAAAUGCGUAGAGAUGAUGGAGGAACACCGAUGGCGAAGGCAGCCUCCUGGGCCAGCACUGACGCUCAGUGCACGAAAGCGUGGGGAGCAAACAGGAUUGAGAAACCC